This 115-nucleotide ribosomal RNA is filed under the name Catenovulum maritimum. The record is from RNAcentral. Lineage: Bacteria; Pseudomonadati; Pseudomonadota; Gammaproteobacteria; Alteromonadales; Alteromonadaceae.
CCUGGCGGCAAUAGCAUUAGGGUACCACCUGAAUCCAUUUCGAACUCAGAAGUGAAACCUAAUAGCGGCGAUGGUAGUGUGGGAGUUCCCAUGUGAGAGUAGCACACUGCCAGGC